This 263-nucleotide unclassified non-coding RNA is filed under the name Hevea brasiliensis (rubber tree). Lineage: Eukaryota; Viridiplantae; Streptophyta; Magnoliopsida; Malpighiales; Euphorbiaceae. The record is from RNAcentral.
UUUGUAUGGCGUUUGACCAGAGGUUUUAUAAUUAACAUGUCAAUCCCUUACAAUUAUCUGUUUGGACUGAUUCUCAUUUAGGGAGGGUGAGGUGACCAGUGAGCACUUUUUUGUGCAAUUUAAGAAAUAAAAUUUUUAACUUGUAAUACUUGUCAGAUUUAUCUGAUGUUGAAGUAAAUGUUUGAAUUCAUUGUAUCUAGUUUCAUUGCUUGGUUGAUGUGAUUUUAUUUGUGAUUUGCAGUGCCUGCUAGUGAAGGGUUGGA